CGACAUUAGCGAGUGUGAACCACCUGAAUCCAUACCGAACUCAGAAGUGAAACCACUCAGCGCCGAUGGUAGUGUGGGGUUUCCCCAUGUGAGAGUAGGUCAUUG
This 105-nucleotide ribosomal RNA is filed under the name uncultured Oceanospirillales bacterium HF0130_25G24. Lineage: Bacteria; Pseudomonadati; Pseudomonadota; Gammaproteobacteria; Oceanospirillales. The record is from RNAcentral. RNAcentral also lists the same sequence under 1 other name.